AUGUUCGGCACCGAGCAAUGCCCUGACAAUUUGUGGCAGGCUUAUGUUUGGUGUUAUGUGUUUUUCCCUGGGGAAGAUGUCUUUUAUACGGCCGGCAUUGCGGCCAUUUGUUGGGCUAUCUGGACCUGUCGCAACAGAAUUACUUUUGAGCAUAUACCUCUCAAAUCUCCAUUUGAAUGCAUCUUCUCUGCACGUGCUCUGUUGUGUUAUUGGGCAGGUAUGAUGAAGCAGGAGGACGCGACGACUCUGAGAACUGGAGGAGAGCUGUUGAAGGAUAAUGCAUCUCAUUUGAUGAGGAUCUGCGCGACGGCUUACCAGGAUGAAGGAGCUUGCUGA
RNAcentral lists this ribosomal RNA (336 nucleotides) under Triticum aestivum (bread wheat). RNAcentral's name for it is "partial small subunit ribosomal RNA". Lineage: Eukaryota; Viridiplantae; Streptophyta; Magnoliopsida; Poales; Poaceae. The record is from RNAcentral.